Molecule: ribosomal RNA, 491 nt
Filed under: uncultured bacterium
Lineage: Bacteria
Description: bacterial SSU rRNA
Rfam family: Bacterial small subunit ribosomal RNA
Source: RNAcentral
GACGAACGCUGGCGGCGUGGAUUAGGCAUGCAAGUCGAACGGUAGGAUACCUUCGGGUAUCUGAGAGUGGCGAACGGGUGAGUAACACGUAGGUGAUCUACCCUCAAGAUUGGGACAACCCAGGGAAACUUGGGCUAAUACCGGAUGAAAGCAGCAGUGAUGUUGUUUGAAAGGUGGCGUAAGCUGCCGUUUGGGGAUGAGCCUGCGCUCUAUUAGUUAGUUGGCGGGGUAAAGGCCCACCAAGGCGAUGAUAGAUAGGCGGCCUUAACGGGUGGUCGCCCACACUGGGAUUGAGAUACGGCCCAGACUCCUACGGGAGGCAGCAGUCGAGAAUAGUCUACAAUGGUCGGAAGACUGAUAGUGCGACGCCGCGUGAACGAUGAAUCCCUUCGGGGUUAAAGUUCUUUUAUAUGUGAGCAGUGCUUCUUAUAUUAACAGUAUGGGGAAGAGAUAUUAGCAUAUGAAUAAGCAACGGCUAACUCCGUGCCAGC